AAGCUGCAUCAUUAGGGUCCCGUGUCAGUGAUUACCACUACAUCAAUUUAACAAUGGAGUUGAGCAGCUGGUUUGCCACCGUGUUACGUUUUCUCCUUCUUCUGCCAUUCAUAGCAAUGUCGGUGGCGAGAGAUGUUUUGGGUGUAUUUAUACCUUCCCUUAAGCCAGACCCCAUUUCUGAACACAAGCCACACAUGCAUGGUACAGAAGAAACAUUCCACAACAGAUAGUCGGAACACGUUCCCGUAACACCGGUGUGACCACAACCUAUUCCCUGUAUGCGCUAAAGAAUUUCUUUGUUGUUACCUAGGAACAUAUAUCAUAUCUUCAAAAAAAUACUAGCAUUUGAAAAGCAAAUAGAAUGUUAAUAAUCUCUGCUAUAUCGUGUUAAAAAAAUUAUUGAUCAUUUCAAAGGAAAACUUUGUCGUUUUAAUUACCUGUGAACUGAUCUACAUGUAUCGCCCGAAUUGUUUCUUUUCUGUGGGGUGGAAUUUGCCCAUUCCUCCCAAUAUUGUAGCUGCAGAAUAUUUCAAAUGCUGUUUUACGUGUUGAAGAUUUUUCAUACAUACCAGCAAGAAAGAAAAAUGUUUCGAACAUUCGAGCCGAUUCCUUUACAGAAUUUCGUAAAAUUGUAUUUACGCUCUUUGCAAAUACAUGUACAGCACGAACUGCCUCAUUUAUGGAUCUUGCCAGAAUUGUUCAUUGCCUAUUUAAAAUAAAUUACAAUUAAUUAA
This is a long non-coding RNA of Saccostrea echinata, 734 nucleotides long. RefSeq lists it as uncharacterized. The transcript is spliced from 2 exons. Lineage: Eukaryota; Metazoa; Mollusca; Bivalvia; Ostreida; Ostreidae. The record is from RefSeq and is a predicted model, not a curated record.